CCUACGGGAGGCAGCAGUGAGGAAUAUUGGUCAAUGGACGAGAGUCUGAACCAGCCAAGUAGCGUGAAGGAUGACUGCCCUAUGGGUUGUAAACUUCUUUUAUAUGGGAAUAAAACGUUCCACGUGUGGGAUUUUGUAUGUACCAUAUGAAUAAGGAUCGGCUAACUCCGUGCCAGCAGCCGCGGUAAUACGGAGGAUCCGAGCGUUAUCCGGAUUUAUUGGGUUUAAAGGGAGCGUAGGUGGAUUGUUAAGUCAGUUGUGAAAGUUUGCGGCUCAACCGUAAAAUUGCAGUUGAAACUGGCAGUCUUGAGUACAGUAGAGGUGGGCGGAAUUCGUGGUGUAGCGGUGAAAUGCUGAGAUAUCACGAAGAACUCCGAUUGCGAAGGCAGUUCACUGAACUGCAACUGACACUGAGGCUCGAAAGUGUGGGUAUCAAACAGGAUUAGAUACCCGGGUAGUC
This 460-nucleotide ribosomal RNA is filed under the name uncultured bacterium. RNAcentral describes it as "partial 16S ribosomal RNA". It matches the Rfam family "Bacterial small subunit ribosomal RNA", at positions 338 to 795 of the family's 1533-position model. The record is from RNAcentral.